RNAcentral lists this ribosomal RNA (497 nucleotides) under uncultured bacterium. Its description in RNAcentral is "partial 16S ribosomal RNA". It matches the Rfam family "Bacterial small subunit ribosomal RNA", at positions 28 to 507 of the family's 1533-position model. The record is from RNAcentral.
GAUGAACGCUGGCGGCGUGCCUAAUACAUGCCAGUCGAGCGAACAGACGAGGAGCUUGCUCCUCUGACGUUAGCGGCGGACGGGUGAGUAACACGUGGAUAUCCUACCUAUAAGACUGGGAUAACUUCGGGAAACCGGAGCUAAUACCGGAUAAUAUAUUGAACCGCAUGGUUCAAUAGUGAAAGACGGUUUUGCUGUCACUUAUAGAUGGAUCCGCGCCGCAUUAGCUAGUUGGUAAGGUAACGGCUUACCAAGGCAACGAUGCGUAGCCGACCUGAGAGGGUGAUCGGCCACACUGGAACUGAGACACGGUCCAGACUCCUACGGGAGGCAGCAGUAGGGAAUCUUCCGCAAUGGGCGAAAGCUUGACGGAGCAACGCCGCGUGAGUGAUGAAGGUCUUCGGAUCGUAAAACUCUGUUAUUAGGGAAGAACAAAUGUGUAAGUAACUAUGCACGUCUUGACGGUGCCUAAUCAGAAAGCCACGGCUAACUACGUG